This 261-nucleotide unclassified non-coding RNA is filed under the name Glomeraceae sp. RNAcentral's name for it is "partial internal transcribed spacer 2". The stretch from base 1 to 71 matches the Rfam family "5.8S ribosomal RNA", at positions 84 to 154 of the family's 154-position model. Lineage: Eukaryota; Fungi; Glomeromycota; Glomeromycetes; Glomerales; Glomeraceae. The record is from RNAcentral.
GUGAAUCAUCGAAUUUUUGAACGCAAAUUGCGCUUCCUGGCAUCCCGGGAAGUAUGCCUUUUUUAGGGGCAGUAUUAAUAAAAAAUCGGUUUAGUUACGAUUUGUGACGUUGACGGAGUUUGGGCUAUCGUAACAUUUUUGGUUAAGAGUCUUAAAAUUGACCUUUUUUGCGCAUUUUUAAACGUAUAUAUAUUUUUUUUAUUGGUCUAUUCUUAAUGCCAAUAUCUUAUUAGAUGCUAUUAUAUUGUGUGUCUUCGUGAC